CCUACGGGAGGCAGCAGUGGGGAAUAUUGCACAAUGGGGGAAACCCUGAUGCAGCGACGCCGCGUGAGUGAAGAAGUAUUUCGGUAUGUAAAGCUCUAUCAGCAGGGAAGAAAAUGACGGUACCUGACUAAGAAGCCCCGGCUAACUACGUGCCAGCAGCCGCGGUAAUACGUAGGGGGCAAGCGUUAUCCGGAUUUACUGGGUGUAAAGGGAGCGUAGACGGGAGCACAAGGCUGGAGUGAAAUGCCGGGGCUUAACCCCGGAACUGCUUUUGAAACUGUGCAGCUAGAGUGCAGGAGAGGUAAGUGGAAUGCCUAGUGUAGCGGUGAAAUGCGUAGAUAUUAGGAGGAACACCAGUGGCGAAGGCGGCUUACUGGACUGUAACUGACGUUGAGGCUCGAAAGCGUGGGGAGCAAACAGGAUUAGAUACCCGGGUAGUC
Molecule: ribosomal RNA, 440 nt
Filed under: uncultured bacterium
Lineage: Bacteria
Description: partial 16S ribosomal RNA
Rfam family: Bacterial small subunit ribosomal RNA
Source: RNAcentral